GGAGAGAUGGCUGAGCUGGUCUAAGGCGCACGACUGGAAAUCGUGUGAACGUGAAGAGCGUUCCGAGGGUUCGAAUCCCUCUCUCUCCGCCA
Molecule: transfer RNA, 92 nt
Filed under: Clostridiaceae bacterium
Lineage: Bacteria; Bacillati; Bacillota; Clostridia; Eubacteriales; Clostridiaceae
Description: tRNA-Ser
Rfam family: tRNA
About the family: Transfer RNA (tRNA) molecules are approximately 80 nucleotides in length. Their secondary structure includes four short double-helical elements and three loops (D, anti-codon, and T loops).
Source: RNAcentral